AGGUGCGAUGAAACCAACACCCAUGCGCUGAAUCCCAUUUGAACUCCGCAGUCAAGCGUGCUUGGACGAGAGUAGUACUAGGAUGGGUGACCUCGUUGGAAGUCCUCGUGUUUCUUCUC
Molecule: non-coding RNA, 119 nt
Organism: Lupinus angustifolius (narrow-leaved blue lupine)
Lineage: Eukaryota; Viridiplantae; Streptophyta; Magnoliopsida; Fabales; Fabaceae
Source: Rfam